AUACGUAGGGGGCGAGCGUUGUCCGGAAUGAUUGGGCGUAAAGGGCGCGUAGGCGGCCCGGUAAGUCUGGAGUGAAAGUCCUGUUUUUAAGAUGGGAAUUGCUUUGGAUACUGUCGGGCUUGAGUGCAGGAGAGGUAAGUGGAAUUCCCAGUGUAGCGGUGAAAUGCGUAGAGAUUGGGAGGAACACCAGUGGCGAAGGCGACUUACUGGACGGUAACGGACGCUGAGGCGCGAAAGUGUGGGGAGCAAACAGGAUUAGAUACCCUGGUAGUCCACACUGUAAACGAUGGAUGCUAGGGGUAGGGGGUGUCGACCCCUUCGGUGCCGCAGUCAACACAAUAAGCAUUCCGCCUGGGGAGUACGGCCGCAAGGUUGAAACUCAAAUGAAUUGACGGGG
RNAcentral lists this ribosomal RNA (397 nucleotides) under uncultured bacterium. Its description in RNAcentral is "partial 16S ribosomal RNA". It matches the Rfam family "Bacterial small subunit ribosomal RNA", at positions 523 to 918 of the family's 1533-position model. The record is from RNAcentral.